Molecule: ribosomal RNA, 588 nt
Filed under: Hanseniaspora uvarum
Lineage: Eukaryota; Fungi; Ascomycota; Saccharomycetes; Saccharomycodales; Saccharomycodaceae
Description: partial large subunit ribosomal RNA
Rfam family: Eukaryotic large subunit ribosomal RNA
Source: RNAcentral
AUUUCUGGGAUACUUAGUACGGCGAGUGAAGCGGUAAAAGCUCAAAUUUGAAAUCUGGUACUUUCAGUGCCCGAGUUGUAAUUUGUAGAAUUUGUCUUUGAUUAGGUCCUUGUCUAUGUUCCUUGGAACAGGACGUCAUAGAGGGUGAGAAUCCCGUUUGGCGAGGAUACCUUUUCUCUGUAAGACUUUUUCGAAGAGUCGAGUUGUUUGGGAAUGCAGCUCAAAGUGGGUGGUAAAUUCCAUCUAAAGCUAAAUAUUGGCGAGAGACCGAUAGCGAACAAGUACAGUGAUGGAAAGAUGAAAAGAACUUUGAAAAGAGAGUGAAAAAGUACGUGAAAUUGUUGAAAGGGAAGGGCAUUUGAUCAGACAUGGUGUUUUUUGCAUGCACUCGCCUCUCGUGGGCUUGGGCCUCUCAAAAAUUUCACUGGGCCAACAUCAAUUCUGGCAGCAGGAUAAAUCAUUAAGAAUGUAGCUACUUCGGUAGUGUUAUAGCUUUUUGGAAUACUGUUAGCCGGGAUUGAGGACUGCGCUUCGGCAAGGAUGUUGGCAUAAUGGUUAAAUGCCGCCCGUCUUGAACCCACGGAACCA